AUGUACCACAACAUACGGUCAUUUGUCAAACAAGAUGGUUUGGAUUGUAGUCAUCUGGAGCUCUACUUCUAUGAUGAUGAUCCCAGUUUAGAGCAUAGGUAUCGCAGUUGUCGCAAAGAGCAGUGCCAGAAAGACAAAGAAGUAAUCACACAACUGGUCGACAUACUUCGUGGCAACCCAUACGCUGAACACCUCCGUAGUAUGGGGCAUGUUGAUGAUGUGGAUGACUAUCACAUAACACUUAACCUUGACCAAAGGAUGGCUCAGAGAAGAUAUAAUGCGCCAACCACUUCAGAAGUAGCAGCUGUGCGGGUGGAGGGCAGUGAAUGUCGAAGAUAG
Molecule: ribosomal RNA, 339 nt
Filed under: Triticum aestivum (bread wheat)
Lineage: Eukaryota; Viridiplantae; Streptophyta; Magnoliopsida; Poales; Poaceae
Description: partial small subunit ribosomal RNA
Source: RNAcentral